This 373-nucleotide ribosomal RNA is filed under the name Virgibacillus sp. 7505. Its description in RNAcentral is "bacterial LSU rRNA". It matches the Rfam family "Bacterial large subunit ribosomal RNA", at positions 1450 to 1829 of the family's 2925-position model. The record is from RNAcentral. Lineage: Bacteria; Bacillati; Bacillota; Bacilli; Caryophanales; Bacillaceae.
AAAUCCGCUUGAACGAUGGGGGGACGCAGGAGGAUAGGGAAAGCGCGCUGCUGGUUAUGCGCGUCCAAGCCGUGAGGAAGUUGAGCAGGCAAAUCCACUCAACAUUAUUCCAGGCGGUUAUGGGGAGGGAAAUUUAGUACCGAAGUUCCUGAUUUCACACUGCCAAGAAAAGCCUCUAGUGAGGAAAUAGGUGCCCGUACCGCAAACCGACACAGGUAGGCACGGUGAGUAACCGAAGAUGAUCGGGAGAACUCUCGUUAAGGAACUCGGCAAAAUGACCCCGUAACUUCGGGAGAAGGGGUGCUUCUUUUAAGGAGAAGCCGCAGUGAAAAGGCCCAAGCGACUGUUUAGCAAAAACACAGGUCUCUGCAAA